Molecule: ribosomal RNA, 253 nt
Filed under: uncultured bacterium
Lineage: Bacteria
Description: partial 16S ribosomal RNA
Rfam family: Bacterial small subunit ribosomal RNA
Source: RNAcentral
GACGAACCGUCCAAACGUUAUUCGGAAUCACUGGGCUUAAAGGGUGCGUAGGCGGUGCGGAAAGUUGGGUGUGAAAGCCCUCGGCUCAACCGAGGAAUUGCGCCCAAAACUACCGUGCUGGAGGAAGAUAGAGGUGAGCGGAACUUAGGGUGGAGCGGUGAAAUGCGUUGAUAUCCUAAGGAACACCAGUAGCGAAAGCGGCUCACUAGGUCUUUUCUGACGCUGAGGCACGAAAGCUAGGGGAGCGAAGAGG